AGAGCACAGCCACUAUAACUUAUCAUAAUGUAACCUACUACCAAAAUUACUCUCUCCGGCCGCAAGCUAAUGUGCUGUUCGAGAAGAAGAAAUCUCUUGGGCACGAGCAGAUUGAAUUGCCCGGGGAAAAAACCCAAGAUCAUCCCCCUUCCAAGCACACUCCCGAGGCCCCGAUUUAUCAAACCAACAACCCUAACAUAUUAAGGCACACUCCUUAAUUCACACGCAGAAAUCGACGGUUUGCAGGAAGUCGUCCAUGCCGCGGCCCAGGUCGCAGCCAGGCAUCUCCGGGAAGACGUCGUUGAUGUCGUCGAGGUCGAGGUCAAUCUCCAGCUCCUCAUCCCCGAAGUCCCCAAGCAGGAGGUCCUGUUCGUCGUCCAGGCAGAAGGCCGCGUCCGAGACGUCCAGCGCGUCCAGCCCGGCGCGGAAGUCCAUCGGGUCGAUGUCGGGCAGCUGCAGGCCGCGCAGAAGGUCCUGGUAGAACUCUGGGUCGUCCGGCAGCUGCGCAGCAGAUUCAG
This 518-nucleotide long non-coding RNA is filed under the name Sorghum bicolor (sorghum). RNAcentral describes it as "long non-coding RNA (SBIC_LNC004098)". Lineage: Eukaryota; Viridiplantae; Streptophyta; Magnoliopsida; Poales; Poaceae. The record is from RNAcentral.